CACAAAGGAGUUUCAUUAUAACUGGCUAUAUAUAUUUAUCCUCAAGCAUUUCUAAGGGAAAAAGAAUGGGAAUAUUAAAUGCUCAAGUUCUGUGUAUCUUUGGCACCAUCAUAUGUUUUGCUUCAACUUCAUAUACUUACCAAGGGACGGCCAGCUUCUACAAGCCUCCUUACGUUCCCUCUGCAUGUGACGGAUAUAGAGAUGAUGGUAGUUUUAUAGCCGGAGCAAGUGAUGCUUUAUGGAAAAAUGGGGCAGCAUGUGGGAAAGUUUACUUGGUGUACUGUACUGGUGCCACAAACCAAGCACCACAACCUUGUACGGAUGCCGCUGUUGUGGUCAGAAUUGUUGAUUAUUGUCCACAGGGAUGCCGGGGAACCAUUAAUCUUUCAGAAGAUGCUUUCUCUGUGAUUGCUAAUCUCAGUGCUGGAGUAAUUAAGGUUGAGUACUUUGAAGAGUAAUAAACAAAGUGGAAGAAUUGAGAAGGUCUAGUAAGGGCAAGUUAUGAUGAUACUGAAAUCACGAUGGCUCAUUUUCUAGCCUUUGAGCCAAGAAGCUUCGGCUAAUUUUCAGCAUUUUUUUUCUCUCUUUUAUGCGUUCUACAACUUCUACUGGUUGGAAUAUGGGACUAGCUAAAUAUGUUAGGCACUUUUUUGCUUUUAAAGGCUUUGUAAAUAAUUAAUGUUAGAAAAUAUAUAUAUUUUUAUCCUACAA
Molecule: long non-coding RNA, 711 nt
Organism: Alnus glutinosa
Lineage: Eukaryota; Viridiplantae; Streptophyta; Magnoliopsida; Fagales; Betulaceae
Exons: 3
Source: RefSeq, a predicted model, not a curated record